Molecule: long non-coding RNA, 289 nt
Organism: Chionomys nivalis (European snow vole)
Lineage: Eukaryota; Metazoa; Chordata; Mammalia; Rodentia; Cricetidae
Exons: 3
Source: RefSeq, a predicted model, not a curated record
UAUACACAAACUUAGAGAAGAAAAUCUAUCAGAGAAGCUUGCAAGAGACAGAAGAAAUGGAAAUCUAGGAAAAGCAAGGAAUUUGUGAGAUUGCCUAAGCUUCUGCUAUAAGUUGCCUGUUCCUGUUUUUAGUGCAAGAAAUAUGCUCGAGUCUCUGAAGCCACUGCUUCAGCCUUAAUAUCUGUGAUUCCUGGUACACAGGGAGGAGUGAGACACAGAUGAAUCAUCAGUUCUGGAUGAACUCAUCAAGGGAGAAGGGAGAUACAGAUGGCUUGUCAGCUCUGGAUGA